Molecule: long non-coding RNA, 208 nt
Filed under: Elaeis guineensis (African oil palm)
Lineage: Eukaryota; Viridiplantae; Streptophyta; Magnoliopsida; Arecales; Arecaceae
Description: long non-coding RNA (EGUI_LNC023550)
Source: RNAcentral
UAUUUUUAGUAUCUGAUUUAUAUCUAUAUUUAUUUAAAAUGAAUAUGAAUAUAAAUAUUUACAUCCGAUUAAUAUCUCUGCAUAUCUUUAUUUAUAUUCAUCAAAUAAAAUAAAUAAAAAUAUGGAUAUAUUGAUAUUCGAUUCAUAUCUGGUUCGAUUUCAGCCUCAAAGGAGCUGUAAAUGAGCACUAAAAAGAAGUGGGGGGAGA